UCGUAGGGCUUCGGCCCUGUCGAGAUAGAACCCUUGCCUUUUUGAGUACCUUUCGUUUCCUCGGCGGCUUCGGCCGCCAAUGGGGACCCCAAAAAACACUUUGUAGUACCUGUAACAGUCUGAACAAACAAACAAAAAUUA
This 141-nucleotide unclassified non-coding RNA is filed under the name uncultured Preussia. RNAcentral's name for it is "sequence contains ITS1". Lineage: Eukaryota; Fungi; Ascomycota; Dothideomycetes; Pleosporales; Sporormiaceae. The record is from RNAcentral.